RNAcentral lists this ribosomal RNA (404 nucleotides) under uncultured prokaryote. RNAcentral's name for it is "bacterial SSU rRNA". It matches the Rfam family "Bacterial small subunit ribosomal RNA", at positions 355 to 774 of the family's 1533-position model. The record is from RNAcentral.
UGGGGAAUAUUGCACAAUGGAGGAAACUCUGAUGCAGCAACGCCGCGUGAGUGAAGAAGGUCUUCGGAUUGUAAAGCUCUGUUAAUCGGGACGAAAUAAUGACGGUACCGAUAGAGGAAGCCACGGCUAACUACGUGCCAGCAGCCGAGGUAAUACGUAGGUGGCGAGCGUUGUCCGGAAUUACUGGGCGUAAAGGAUGCGUAGGUGGAUAAUUAAGUCAGAUGUGAAAAUCCCGGGCUCAACUUGGGAACUGCAUUUGAAACUGAAUAUCUAGAGUGCAGGAGAGGAAAGCGGAAUUCCGAGUGUAGCGGUGAAAUGCGUAGAUAUUAGGAAGAACACCAGUGGCGAAGGCGGCUUUCUGGACUGUAACUGACACUGAGGCAUGAAAGCGUGGGGAGCAAACA